This 495-nucleotide ribosomal RNA is filed under the name uncultured bacterium. RNAcentral's name for it is "partial 16S ribosomal RNA". It matches the Rfam family "Bacterial small subunit ribosomal RNA", at positions 28 to 507 of the family's 1533-position model. The record is from RNAcentral.
GACGAACGCUGGCGGCGUGCCUAAUACAUGCAAGUAGAACGCUGAAGGAGGAGCUUGCUUCUCUGGAUGAGUUGCGAACGGGUGAGUAACGCGUAGGUAACCUGCCUGGUAGCGGGGGAUAACUAUUGGAAACGAUAGCUAAUACCGCAUAAUAGUAGAUGUUGCAUGACAUUUGCUUAAAAGGUGCAAUUGCAUCACUACCAGAUGGACCUGCGUUGUAUUAGCUAGUUGGUGGGGUAACGGCUCACCAAGGCGACGAUACAUAGCCGACCUGGGAGGGUGAACGGCCAAACUGGGACUGGGACACGGCCCAGACUCCUACGGGAGGCAGCAGUAGGGAAUCUUCGGCAAUGGACGGAAGUCUGAACGAGCAACGCCGCGUGAGUGAAGAAGGUUUUCGGAUCGUAAAGCUCUGUUGUAAGAGAAGAACGAGUGUGAGAGUGGAAAGUUCACACUGUGACGGUAUCUUACCAGAAAGGGACGGCUAACUACGUG